RNAcentral lists this ribosomal RNA (468 nucleotides) under uncultured bacterium. RNAcentral's name for it is "partial 16S ribosomal RNA". It matches the Rfam family "Bacterial small subunit ribosomal RNA", at positions 28 to 507 of the family's 1533-position model. The record is from RNAcentral.
GAUGAACGCUGGCGGCGUGCUUAACACAUGCAAGUCGAACGGAAAGGCCGAAGCUUGCUUCGGUACUCGAGUGGCGAACGGGUGAGUAACACGUGGAUGAUCUGCCCUGUACUUCGGGAUAAGCUUGGGAAACUGGGUCUAAUACCGGAUAUGACGAUCUCUUGGAUGGGGUUGUGGAAAGCUUUUGCGGUAUGGGAUGAGCUCGCGGCCUAUCAGCUUGUUGGUGGGGUAAUGGCCUACCAAGGCGUCGACGGGUAGCCGGCCUGAGAGGGUGUACGGCCACAUUGGGACUGAGAUACGGCCCAGACUCCUACGGGAGGCAGUAGUGGGGAAUAUUGCACAAUGGGCGCAAGCCUGAUGCAGCGACGCCGCGUGGGGGAUGACGGCCUUCGGGUUGUAAACUCCUUUCGCAAUCGACGAAGCCUUUUGGUGACGGUAGGUGGAGAAGAAGCACCGGCUAACUACGUG